This 506-nucleotide ribosomal RNA is filed under the name uncultured bacterium. Its description in RNAcentral is "partial 16S ribosomal RNA". It matches the Rfam family "Bacterial small subunit ribosomal RNA", at positions 29 to 523 of the family's 1533-position model. The record is from RNAcentral.
AGUGAACGCUGGCGGUAGGCCUAACACAUGCAAGUCGAACGGCAGCACAGAGGAGCCUGCUCCUUGGGUGGCGAGUGGCGGACGGGUGAGGAAUACAUCGGAAUCUACUCUGUCGUGGGGGAUAACGUAGGGAAACUUACGCUAAUACCGCAUACGACCUACGGGUGACAGCAGGGGACCUUCGGGCCUUGCCCGAUUGAAUGAGCCGAGGUCGGAUUAGCUAGUUGGCGGGGUAAAGGCCCACCAAGGCGACGAUCCGUAGCUGGUCUGCGAGAAUGAUCAGCCACACUGGAACUGAGACACGGUCCAGACUCCUACGGGAGGCAGCAGUGGGGAAUAUUGGACAAUGGGCGCAAGCCUGAUCCAGCCAUACCGCGUGGGUGAAGAUGGCCUUCGGGUUGUAAAGCCCUUUUGUUGGGAAAGAAAUCCAGCUGGCUAAUACCCGGUUGGGAUGACGGUACCCGGAGAAGAAGCCCCGGCUAACUUCGUGCCAGCCGCCGCGGUAA